RNAcentral lists this ribosomal RNA (800 nucleotides) under uncultured bacterium. Its description in RNAcentral is "bacterial SSU rRNA". It matches the Rfam family "Bacterial small subunit ribosomal RNA", at positions 38 to 819 of the family's 1533-position model. The record is from RNAcentral.
AGGGAGUGCAACUGGCCAGUCCGAGCCGCGAACCGAAGGAAUAUGUACCAAGAUGAAAGAAGCGGCGAACGGGUGAGUAACGCGUGGGAAAUUCUGCCGAGUAGCGGGGGACAACGUUUGGAAACGAACGCUAAUACCGCAUAACAAUCGGAAUCGCAUCGAUUCUUAUUUAAAAGAAGCAAAAGCUUCACUACUCGAUGAUCCCGCGUUCGUAUUAGCUAGUUGGUAGUGUAAAGGACUACCAAGGCGAUGAUACAUAGCCGGCCUGAGAGGGUGAACGGCCACACUGGGACUGAGACACGGCCCAGACUCCUACGGGAGGCAGCAGUAGGGAAUCUUCGGCAAUGGACGAAAGUCUGACCGAGCAACGCCGCGUGAGUGAAGAAGGUUUUCGGAUCGUAAAACUCUGUUGUUAGAGAAGAACGUUAAGUAGAGUGGAAAGUUACUUGAGUGACGGUAUCUAACCAGAAAGGGACGGCUAACUACGUGCCAGCAGCCGCGGUAAUACGUAGGUCCCGAGCGUUGUCCGGAUUUAUUGGGCGUAAAGCGAGCGCAGGUGGUUUCUUAAGUCUGAUGUAAAAGGCAGUGGCUCAACCAUUGUGUGCAUUGGAAACUGGGGAACUUGAGUGCAGGAGAGGGGAGUGGAAUUCCAUGUGUAGCGGUGAAAUGCGUANAUAUAUGGAGGAACACCGGAGGCGAAAGCGGCUCUCUGGCCUGUAACUGACACUGAGGCUCGAAAGCGUGGGGAGCAAACAGGAUUAAAUACCCUGGUAGUCCACGCCGUAAACGAUGAGUGCUAA